Molecule: long non-coding RNA, 581 nt
Organism: Erigeron canadensis
Lineage: Eukaryota; Viridiplantae; Streptophyta; Magnoliopsida; Asterales; Asteraceae
Exons: 2
Source: RefSeq, a predicted model, not a curated record
UUUGUGACUCACCAUCAUUCUUCUUUUCCAUUUCCUUCUUUUUCUUUUAUCAAAAUCAAGUUUUUCCAUUAUCAAAUUUACUUAAGUAUUCCUAUUUUUCCAAGUAAAUUAAUCAAACUUUUCAUACGAAUAAUAAUCCUAGCAUUCAAUUGAAGAACUUAUUUGGGAUAACUUGUGGAUGUGUAUAUGUGUGGGUCAAAACACAUAAGAGAGGAGAAGAAGAAAUUCCUAUUUUUCCAUCUUAGUUAUUGUCUUUCAAAGUGGUUCCGGAAGAAGGAACUAAUAAAGUUGUGGAUUGUAAAAGUUGCUAGUGAUCUUGAAGGUAGCUUGCCAUUUUGCGAGAGAAUGGUAUUUAUGAUGGAAACCUAGUUUAUCCCACCUCAUUUGGCUCUUGAUACAAUCUUAGUAUUUUGAAUUUUAUGGUUAUGUAACUUGUUCACUUUGGUUUUGGUAACUAGUCUUGUUAAAGUUGGAAGUCAAAUGAAUGUUUUGGGUUAUGUGACGUAAUGGGUAAUGUGUCCAACAUAUGUUGAAAUGUACAUGUUAUCAAAUGUAAGCUUUUGAAACGUUUGGUUGCUUGA